RNAcentral lists this non-coding RNA (45 nucleotides) under Schistosoma mansoni. The record is from RNAcentral. Lineage: Eukaryota; Metazoa; Platyhelminthes; Trematoda; Strigeidida; Schistosomatidae.
AUCCAUCUAACGAGUUCGAAAUAGGACGAAACUCGCGUCGUGGAU